CGGCGGCGACGGGUGAGUAACGCGUGGGUAACCUGCCUCAUACAGGGGGAUAACAGUUAGAAAUGACUGCUAAUACCGCAUAAGACCACAGCACCGCAUGGUGCGGGGGUAAAAACUCCGGUGGUAUGAGAUGGACCCGCGUCUGAUUAGCUAGUUGGUAAGGUAACGGCUUACCAAGGCGACGAUCAGUAGCCGACCUGAGAGGGUGACCGGCCACAUUGGGACUGAGACACGGCCCAA
Molecule: ribosomal RNA, 240 nt
Filed under: uncultured bacterium
Lineage: Bacteria
Description: partial 16S ribosomal RNA
Rfam family: Bacterial small subunit ribosomal RNA
Source: RNAcentral